Molecule: RNA transcript, 3374 nt
Organism: Camellia sinensis
Lineage: Eukaryota; Viridiplantae; Streptophyta; Magnoliopsida; Ericales; Theaceae
Gene name: putative galactinol--sucrose galactosyltransferase 2
Source: RefSeq, a predicted model, not a curated record
CACACAUUCUUUUAGACAGAUUAUACCCCCCAGCCCCCUCCUAUAUUUUUGAGGGAUGAGGGGAGGGAGGAGAUUCUUUUUACCACUAUUCUUUUUUUCAUUUUUUGUUUUCUUAUCAAAGGUGCUAAUUUACAACUUCCAAGCCCACCUCAACUCACCAGACCAUGAGCUUGAGCAUGAGCAUGAACAUGACAAUAGUAUCACAAUCUCCAAGAAGUGUGCAAUUCAAUGCCUGCUUCUUAGGAUCCAGCACUACUCAGAGGAUACACGUACACCCACAUCCAUAUCCCAUAUGUGAGUGUAGGGGUGAGGGUGGUACAUCAUGGUCAUCAUCGCAGUCAGUGCAAUUUCAUGACAGAAGUACAGAGAGGAGGAGACAUUCUAUGUUUAUCAGUCCAAAACCAAAACCCAUCAUUGAAGAUGGAGUUCUCAGCAUUAAUGGCAAGGAUGUACUGACUGCAGUUCCAGAUAAUGUCAUUCUCACCCCAUGGACUGAUUCAGCAGCAUUUUUGGGUGCCACUGCCACCACCACCAAUAGGCAUAGGCAUAGGCAUAGCUAUUCCCGACACGUUUUCAAGCUCGGUGUCAUUCAGGAUGCCAGAUUGCUAUGUUUGUUUAGAGUUAAGCUUUGGUGGAUGAUACCUCGGGUGGGAAAUUCAGCAAGUGACAUUCCUGUUGAAACCCAGAUGUUGUUGAUGGAAUCAAAGGAAGCACCAACUUCUAAUCAACCUAAAGGAUCUAUCUCUUAUAUUGUUUUCUUGCCAUUCUUAGAUGGUGAAUUCAGAAGCAGUUUGCAGGGAAACUCUGCCAAUGAACUUCAAUUUUGUGUUGAAAGUGGUGACCCUGCUGUUGUUGCAUCAGAGUCUCUAAAAGCAGUUUUUGUGAAUUAUGGAAACAAUCCAUUUGAUCUGAUGACGGAAUCUAUGAAGAUUUUGGAGAAGUACAGUGGGACCUUUACUGUCCGGGAAAGAAAACAGAUGCCUGGAAUGCUCGAUUGGUUUGGUUGGUGCACUUGGGAUGCUUUCUAUACAGACGUAAAUCCACAAGGAAUCAAAGAUGGCCUGAAAAGCUUAUCCGAGGGAGGCACUCCAGCAAAAUUUUUGAUAAUUGAUGAUGGGUGGCAAGAUACAUCUAAUGAGUUCCAGAAAGAAGGGGAGCCUAUAGAAGAAGGGUCACAGUAUGGUGGCCGAUUAGUCAGCAUACAAGAAAACUAUAAGUUCCAGAAAACAACAAAUGAAGCUCCAAGUGAAGCACCUACCAAUCUUAAAGAAUUUGUUUCCGACAUAAAGAGAAAUUUUGGCCUCAAGUAUGUCUAUGUGUGGCAUGCGCUAAUGGGAUACUGGGGUGGACUUCACCCGGAUGCUCCUGGGACCAAAAAGUACAAUCCAAAAUUAAAAUUUCCAGUGCAGUCACCGGGGAAUCUUGCACAUUUAAGAGAUAUAGCAAUGGAUUGUAUGGAGAAGUAUGGUGUUGGUACAAUUGAUCCAGACAAAAUAUUUGAAUUUUAUGAUGAUCUACAUAAAUAUCUUGUCUCACAGGAGGUGGAUGGGGUUAAGGUUGAUGCACAGAACAUAUUGGAAACCAUAGCAACUGGGUUAGGAGGCCGAGUCACUUUAACUAGACAUUUUCAACAGGCACUUGAGAAGUCCAUAGCCACCAAUUUCCAAGACAAUAGCAUAAUCUGCUGCAUGGGACAGAACACAGAUUCCGUUUACAACACAAAAAGAAGUGUCAUUACACGUGCAUCUGAUGACUACUAUCCGAAAAAUCCAACAACACAAACACUGCACAUAGCUGCUGUGGCUUAUAACAGCAUGUUGUUUGGUGAAAUUUUUGUCCCGGAUUGGGACAUGUUUUAUAGCCGCCAUAAUGCAGCUGAGUUUCAUGCAGUUGCCAGAGCAGUUGGAGGAUGUGGAGUCUAUGUUAGUGACAAACCCGGGCAGCAUGAUUUCAAGAUACUGAAAAGGCUUGUACUUCCUAAUGGAUCAUUGCUGAGAGCUAAAUACCAUGGGAGGCCGUCCCGAGAUUGUUUAUUCAACGAUCCAGUAAUGGAUGGAAAGAGUCUUCUGAAGAUUUGGAAUCUUAACAAAUAUACUGGAGUUAUUGGCAUCUUCAAUUGCCAAGGAGCGGGAAGCUGGCCGCGUCUAGACAAUCAUGUUCAGAAGGAUGUUAGUCCUAAUCUAUCUGGACACGUAUCUCCUGCUGAUAUCGAGUUUUUUGAAGAGGUUUGCGGGAAGUCAUGGACAGGAGAUUGUGCAGUAUUCUCUUCCAUCACAGGGUCUCUGUCUCGAUUAUCAGAGCAACAAUCAUUUGCAGUAACACUAAAAAUCUUGCAGUGUGAUGUAUUUACUGUAUCUCCUAUCAAGGUUUACAAUCAAAAGAUUCAUUUUGCGCCUCUUGGAUUGAUAGACAUGUAUAAUUCUGGAGGAGCUAUUGAGGCAAUGGAAUUUUCUGAAGAUUUGUCCGCUUGUAGAAUCAGUAUCAAAGGAAGAGGGGCGGGUCGUUUUGGAGCAUAUUCCAAUCAAAAACCAAAAUUUUGCUACGUGAAUUCAAGAGAAGAGGGGUUCGAUUUCAGAAGCGAAGACAAUCUUUUGACUACAAUAAUUCCACAUGAGGCGAAUUCUUGGAACAUUACCAUUGGUUAUUGAGGCCUUAUUGUUUCAAUGAUGUCAGUGCCAAUGAUAUCUCCCCCCCCAGUCCCCAUGUAACAUGGCAUCUACUGUUCGAGGGAGGGACAAUGCAUCUUUUGUGGUGAAGCAGUGUCCUCUGUUGGCCGAAUAAUACAGUCACUUUUACAAAUUCACAAUAAACUGAAAGCAUGGGAAAGUUUAUUGUAUAUUUUUACAGCUGAUGUAUUCACACACACUUGGGGAAGUGUUGAAGUUCACUGAAUUAUGGCAACAAACGAACAGGUGGUUUGGCCCUUGAAGCCACACAUGGUGUAUUGAUUAGAAGUCAGUCUGCAAUUACACAUUGGAUCAGGUCACAAGUCUUGGCGCACCCGCACAAUCAGAAAUCUCCGUAAGGAGUUGUUGCAGCAGUGACAUCUUGGUGCCAAUAGGUUCUUGGAAUCUUAGUCGUACCCUUCUCGUUUAUGAGUCCUCGACUUCCAUCCCUUACAUUUGGUUCAAUGCUUGGGUUGGGCCAACAAAAUGACAUCAUGAACCAGUCUGGAUGGUAGAACUGGGUUGGUCUCCAACUGGUUCAAGUUGUUCCAGUAUUCUUUCUUUUCUAAGCAAAAUGUUCAUAUGGUGCAAUCUAAAAUCUUAAAUGAACUGGGUGAGUUUGGAUUGGAUUAGGCGGUGUUUGCCAUUCCUAUAUGUUGAGUUUGGUGCCAGCACAAUGGGCCCUAUGAAUGGAGGUAACAGUCUUAA